This 439-nucleotide ribosomal RNA is filed under the name uncultured bacterium. RNAcentral describes it as "partial 16S ribosomal RNA". It matches the Rfam family "Bacterial small subunit ribosomal RNA", at positions 338 to 795 of the family's 1533-position model. The record is from RNAcentral.
CCUACGGGAGGCAGCAGUGGGGAAUAUUGCACAAUGGGGGAAACCCUGAUGCAGCGACGCCGCGUGAGUGAGGAAGUAUCUCGGGAUGGAAAGCUCCAUCAGUAGGGAAGAAAAUGACGGUACCUGACUAUGUAGCCCCGGCUAACUACGUGCAAGCAGCCGCGGUAACACGUAGGGGGCAAGCGUUAUCCGGAUUUAUUGGGUUUAAAGGGGGCGCAGGCGGAAGAUCAAGUCAGCGGUAAAAUUGUGGGGCUCAACCUCUUCGAGCCGUUGAAACUGGUGUUCUUGAGUGAGCGAGAAGUAUGCGGAAUGCGUGGUGUAGCGGUGAAAUGCAUAGAUAUCACGCAGAACUCCGAUUGCGAAGGCAGCAUACCGGCGCUCAACUGACGCUCAUGCACGAAAGUGUGGGUAUCGAACAGGAUUAGAUACCCGAGUAGUC